Molecule: unclassified non-coding RNA, 908 nt
Filed under: Hevea brasiliensis (rubber tree)
Lineage: Eukaryota; Viridiplantae; Streptophyta; Magnoliopsida; Malpighiales; Euphorbiaceae
Source: RNAcentral
GGAAACGGAGCUCAACAGGCAGAUCGGCGGGCGAACUCUCGUUCUGCACCGGCGAUUUGCUUCUUUGCAGCUUUACAAUCCUAUUAUCUCAACGAUAAAUAUAUAAGGAUACUUGCUAGAGCUUGGAGAAGAAAGGUAAAAGGAAUUAGUAGAGUGAAAAGAAAUCCUGUACAAUGUCUUCACAAAAGAUUGAAACUGGCCAUCAAGACAUGAUCCAUGAUGUACAAAUGGAUUACUAUGGCAAACGCAUAGCAACAGCUUCCUCUGAUUUUACCAUUAAGAUUGUUAGCGUUAGCAAAAACUCUGGUUCACAACUCUUAGCUACAUUGAGUGGUCAUAAAGGCCCAGUUUGGCAAGUUGCUUGGGCGCACCCGAAGUUUGGUUCAAUGGUAGCUUCCAGCUCUUACGAUGGUCAAGUGAUAAUCUGGAAGGAAGGAAAUCAAAAUCAAUGGUCACAGGCUCAUGUUUUUAAUGCACACAAGUCUUCGGUGAACUCUAUUGCCUGGGCACCACAUGAACUUGGCCUCUGUUUGGCCUGUGGAUCAUCUGAUGGAAAUAUAUCGGUCUUUAUUGCCAGAUCUGAUGGUGGCUGGGACAACAAUCAAAUCGAACACGCCCACCCUGUUGGAGUGACCUCAGUUUCAUGGGGCCCUACGACGGCUCCAGGUUCCUUAGUUGGAUCCAGUUUGGAGGACCCUGUUUGGAAACUAGCUUCUGGGGGCUUUGAUAGUACCGUGAAGGUGUGGACGCUAAAAGAUGGAAGCUGGAGGAGGGAUUCCUCCCCUGCCCUUCAGAUGCACACUGAUUGGGUGAGGGAUGUGGCUUGGUCGCCAAACCUAGGGCUUCAAAAAUCCACCAUUGCAAGUGGUUCUCAGGAUGGGACAGUGAUUAUUUGGUCUGUUACAAAG